This 433-nucleotide ribosomal RNA is filed under the name uncultured bacterium. RNAcentral describes it as "partial 16S ribosomal RNA". It matches the Rfam family "Bacterial small subunit ribosomal RNA", at positions 29 to 507 of the family's 1533-position model. The record is from RNAcentral.
AACGAGCGCUGGCGGCAGGCUUAACACAUGCAAGUCGAACGCACCUUUCGGGGUGAGUGGCAGACGGGUGAGUAACGCGUGGGAAUCUACCCUUCUCUACGGGAUAGCUCCGGGAAACUGGAAUUAAUACCGUAUACGUCCUGAGGGAGAAAGAUUUAUCGGGGAAGGAUGAGCCCGCGUUGGAUUAGCUAGUUGGUGGGGUAAAGGCCUACCAAGGCGACGAUCCAUAGCUGGUCUAAGAGGAUGAUCAGCCACAUUGGGACUGAGACACGGCCCAAACUCCUACGGGAAGCAGCAGUGGGGAAUAUUGGACAAUGGGCGCAAGCCUGAUCCAGCCAUGCCGCGUGAGUGAUGAAGGCCAUAGGGUUGUAAAGCUCUUUCAGUGGGGACGAUAAUGACGGUACCCACAGAAGAAGCCCCGGCUAACUUCGUG